GGACCAUGGCUCAGUGGUGGAAUCUCUGCUUUGCAUGCAGAAGGUCCCAGGUUCAAUCCCUGGCAUCUUCA
Molecule: non-coding RNA, 71 nt
Organism: Podarcis lilfordi (Lilford's wall lizard)
Lineage: Eukaryota; Metazoa; Chordata; Lepidosauria; Squamata; Lacertidae
Source: the annotation of a GenBank genome assembly